This 702-nucleotide ribosomal RNA is filed under the name Triticum aestivum (bread wheat). Its description in RNAcentral is "partial small subunit ribosomal RNA". Lineage: Eukaryota; Viridiplantae; Streptophyta; Magnoliopsida; Poales; Poaceae. The record is from RNAcentral.
AUGGCCAACAACCAGUGGAUUGUGAAUAUUGACAGCUCAAAUGGCCUCUCCCUGGAACACAUCCAACAGUUUGCUAACCUUUGGGACAAGCUAACAACGGUGGCCCUCGAUGACGACGUUGAAGACUCGAUUAUAUGGAAGUUCACCAAAGAUGGGGUAUAUUCUGCAUCCUCGGCUUACAAGGCUCAGUUUGAAGGCCUCACCGACUCGGACCUUCUCCAUUCAGUGUGGACGGUGUGGGCGCCUCCUCGAUGCAAGUUUUUUGCUUGGCUUGUUCUUCAAGAUAGAAUCUGGACUUCAGACUGCUUGAGCCGUCGUGCUUGGCCUAACUGCAGUCUAUGUCCUCUUUGCAAGCAAACCCAAGAAACCGCGGCUCAUCUGCUUUUCCAAUGUCGCUACACCAUGCGCAUUUGGAAUGACGUCCUCCCAUGGCUCGGCAUGCAUCACAACACCACGUCUACUUGGGUGACGAGGGCUUCAGUUAGAGAAUGGUGGAAUGGAAACCUUCAGCUCCGUCUUGACUCGCCCAAGGCGCUUGCCUCUCUUAUGAUGCUCAUCUCUUGGAAGUUCUGGUCGGAGCGCAAUGCUAGAGUCUUCCGCAACUCGGCGGCCCCUUUCAUGGUCAUCAUCAACAAAAUCAAGCAGGAGGUGUUACUUUGGGCUAUGGCUGGAGCGAAACAUUUGGGUGUUGUAGUGCCAUGA